CUGAAACGUCGAAACCCUAUAAGU
This 24-nucleotide microRNA is filed under the name Rosa chinensis. Its description in RNAcentral is "sRNA RchiOBHm_Chr6g0258605". Lineage: Eukaryota; Viridiplantae; Streptophyta; Magnoliopsida; Rosales; Rosaceae. The record is from RNAcentral.